GAGAGAAACGGAUAUGCCAGACCUUGCCAAAGUAUGAUCCACUUCUAAUUUACAUAAGCACCACAGGAUGAAAGGAAACCAGCUAGAAACACACAACCAAGGAACUACUGCCAAUAUAAAAAGGGAAACUCUUCUUCAAUGCUCCGAAACCAAAGCAACACACACAACAGUUUCCCUGUGGCAAUCUUAAAUACCUUACCCAGCAUGGCUUGAGGAUGUUUUGCCCUGAUUAGAUGAUGCCGAGUAAAGGUGUAGGAGAGACGAGAAGGGGGGUUAGAUUAAUUUUUGACAAGGACUGGCCUACUUAAGGAUUGCAUUCAAACUUAAAGUAAUGGGAAAUGUUAGGCAUGUAGCUAUGCAGGGACUCCGACCCCUGAUAUGGUAUCCUGUCUCUUCUGAGGAGGUGAGAUCCAUAGACUGUCGGCCUAUAUUAGGCUAUCAGUGGAUUUUAAAAUUCCCCAAUCACAUUUGCUUUGAUGCUUGUUACGGGGAGGCCAGGCCGCAUUCUUAUUCACUGUUUCCCCCUCUAAGGCCAUAAUCUACAGUAAAUGCUACAUCCUACAAGACCAACCAACCAAUGAUGUGUGCUUAUUAUAAAUGUCUGUGACCAGUGCAAGUGCAAAUUUCCCCUGUGAUCUGUACGUUCUCUACAGAUGGAUUUCUUCAGCUGUCCGACUCGCUCAUCACCCAUCUACCAGAGGGCUGGAGAACAGGCCCUAGCUUAGGAGAUACCAUUCUACUCCUGCUAUGGGUGCUGACAGUAUGGAGGACCGGGUUAACUGUAAAAAACAGGAUAUACCAAUG
Molecule: long non-coding RNA, 804 nt
Organism: Anguilla anguilla (European eel)
Lineage: Eukaryota; Metazoa; Chordata; Actinopteri; Anguilliformes; Anguillidae
Exons: 4
Source: RefSeq, a predicted model, not a curated record